GAGUUUGAUCCUGGCUCAGGAUGAACGCCGGCGGUGUGCCUAAUACAUGCAAGUCGUACGCACUGGCCCAACUGAUUGAUGGUGCUUGCACCUGAUCGACGAUGGAUCACCAGUGAGUGGCGGACGGGUGAGUAACACGUAGGUAACCUGCCCUGUACAGGGGGAUAACAAUCAGAAAUGAUUGCUAAUACCGCAUAAGACCACAGCACCGCAUGGUGCAGGGGUAAAAACUCCGGUGGUACAGGAUGGACCCGCGUCUGAUUAGCUGGUUGGUGAGGUAACGGCUCACCAAGGCGACGAUCAGUAGCCGGCUUGAGAGAGUGAACGGCCACAUUGGGACUGAGACACGGCCCAAAACUCCUACGGGAGGCAGCAGUGGGGAAUAUUGCACAAUGGGGGAAACCCUGAUGCAGCAACGCCGCGUGAGUGAAGAAGUAUUUCGGUAUGUAAAGCUCUAUCAGCAGGGAAGAAAGUGACGGUACCUGACUAAGAAGCCCGGCUAACUACG
Molecule: ribosomal RNA, 508 nt
Filed under: uncultured microorganism
Description: bacterial SSU rRNA
Rfam family: Bacterial small subunit ribosomal RNA
Source: RNAcentral